This 433-nucleotide ribosomal RNA is filed under the name uncultured bacterium. Its description in RNAcentral is "partial 16S ribosomal RNA". It matches the Rfam family "Bacterial small subunit ribosomal RNA", at positions 29 to 507 of the family's 1533-position model. The record is from RNAcentral.
AACGAACGCUGGCGGCAUGCCUAAUACAUGCAAGUCGAACGAGAUCUUCGGAUCUAGUGGCGCACGGGUGCGUAACGCGUGGGAAUCUGCCCUUGGGUGCGGAAUAACUUCUGGAAACGGAAGCUAAUACCGGAUGAUGACGUAAGUCCAAAGAUUUAUCGCCCAAGGAUGAGCCCGCGUAGGAUUAUCUAGUUGGUGGGGUAAAGGCCCACCAAGGCGACGAUCCUUAGCUGGUCUGAGAGGAUGAUCAGCCACACUGGGACUGAGACACGGCCCAGACUCCUACGGGAGGCAGCAGUAGGGAAUAUUGGACAAUGGGGGAAACCCUGAUGCAGCAAUGCCGCGUGAGUGAUGAAGGCCUUAGGGUUGUAAAGCUCUUUUACCCGGGAUGAUAAUGACAGUACCGGGAGAAUAAGCUCCGGCUAACUCCGUG